CGAAAGCCGUGCUAAUACCGCAUACGAUCUACGGAUGAAAGCGGGGGAUCGCAAGACCUCGCGCGAGUGGAGCGGCCGAUAUCAGAUUAGCUAGNUGGUGAGGUAAAGGCUCACCAAGGCNACGAUCUGUAGCUGGUCUGAGAGGACGACCAGAAUCGGAAUUACUGGGCGUAUAGCGUGCGCAGGCGGUUUUGUAAGACAGAUGUGAAAUCCCCGGGCUCAACCUGGGACCUGCAUUUGUGACUGCAAAGCUAGAGUACGGUAGAGGGGGAUGGAAUUCCGCGUGUAGCAGUGAAAUGCGUAGAUAUGCGGAGGAACACCGAUGGCGAAGGCAAUCCCCUGGACCUGUACUGACGCUCAUGCACGAAAGCGUGGGGAGCAAACAGGAUUAGAUACCCUGGUAGUCCACGCCCUAAACGAUGUCAACUGGUUGUUGGGUCUUUGCUGACUCAGUAACGAAGCUAACGCGUGAAGUUGACCGCC
RNAcentral lists this ribosomal RNA (483 nucleotides) under uncultured bacterium. RNAcentral describes it as "bacterial SSU rRNA". It matches the Rfam family "Bacterial small subunit ribosomal RNA", at positions 152 to 873 of the family's 1533-position model. The record is from RNAcentral. RNAcentral also lists the same sequence under 1 other name.